GUCUUCGUGGCUCAGUUGGCUAGAGCGUUGGUCUCAUAUUCGUAUGAUUCGAUCUUAGAUCGGGCUAUCCAAAGGUCGUGAGUUCGAGCCUCACCGAGGACA
Molecule: transfer RNA, 102 nt
Filed under: Xylaria venustula
Lineage: Eukaryota; Fungi; Ascomycota; Sordariomycetes; Xylariales; Xylariaceae
Description: tRNA-Met
Rfam family: tRNA
About the family: Transfer RNA (tRNA) molecules are approximately 80 nucleotides in length. Their secondary structure includes four short double-helical elements and three loops (D, anti-codon, and T loops).
Source: RNAcentral